CACACAUUCUGCUCACAUAAGUGUUAAUGGCACAUUUGUAUUGAUUGGAUAGGACCAUGUAUUGGAAUGAAUUUUUUGUGAAUUAUGUUAAUUUUAAUCCACAACUUAAAAUGUCAACAGCAUACUUGUUUGGGUAAAGAGUUAAUUAUGCUGUUUUUUAAAAAAAUGUGUGCACAUAUCCUUUGUUGCAUGGAAAAAGUCUCAUCUUAUGUAACAUGACAAACAAUCCUCUGCUUGCCUCCAUCAAUCACUGUUGCACUGCAACCAUACUCUUUCUACAGAAGUGUCUUCUGGCCUAACUAGACAUAUGCCUACUUUUUCUUUUGGUCGUGUAUGUACUGUAGCUUGUUCGAUUGUGGACAACUCUGACCUUUGGCUAUGUUCUGUUCCCAUGCAGAAAAAAUGGUUUUUACCAGAUUACAUGCCUGAUUCAUCGGCUAGGCAAAGGAAGGUAGAAAGUCCAGGCGAAGAAGAUAAAUUUACCUACAUUGCUGUGAUGAUGAAGAUAAAUUUACCUACAUUGCUGUGCUGUUGUACAUGGAAACAGGGAAUGGGGCAAAUGCUUGCAUACUUCCCCCUGUUUUUGGAGC
This 590-nucleotide long non-coding RNA is filed under the name Sorghum bicolor (sorghum). Its description in RNAcentral is "long non-coding RNA (SBIC_LNC012116)". The record is from RNAcentral. Lineage: Eukaryota; Viridiplantae; Streptophyta; Magnoliopsida; Poales; Poaceae.